GAUGAACGCUGGCGGCGUGCCUAAUACAUGCAAGUCGAGCGAACGGACGAGUAGCUUGCUUCUCUGAUGUUAGCGGCGGACGGGUGAGUAACACGUGGAUAACCUACCUAUAAGACUGGGAUAACUUCGGGAAACCGGAGCUAAUACCGGAUAAUAUUAUGAACCGCAUGGUUCAAAAGUGAAAGACGGUCUUGCUGUCACUUAUAGAUGGAUCCGCGCUGCAUUAGCUAGUUGGUAAGGUAACGGCUUACCAAGGCAACGAUGCAUAGCCGACCUGAGAGGGUGAUCGGCCACACUGGAACUGAGACACGGUCCAGACUCCUACGGGAGGCAGCAGUAGGGAAUCUUCCGCAAUGGGCGAAAGCCUGACGGAGCAACGCCGCGUGAGUGAUGAAGGUCUUCGGAUCGUAAAACUCUGUUAUUAGGGAAGAACAUAUGUGUAAGUAACUGUGCACAUCUUGACGGUACCUAAGCAGAAAGCCACGGCUAACUACGG
RNAcentral lists this ribosomal RNA (496 nucleotides) under uncultured bacterium. RNAcentral describes it as "partial 16S ribosomal RNA". It matches the Rfam family "Bacterial small subunit ribosomal RNA", at positions 28 to 506 of the family's 1533-position model. The record is from RNAcentral.